AGUGAACGCUGGCGGCAUGCCUAACACAUGCAAGUCGAACGGCAACGCACUAAGAGUUUGCGCUGACGGGUGGCCGGUGGCGUAAGUGAGAGGAAUGUAUCCGACCCUAGUCUUUCGUGGGGCUUAACGUAGGUAAACUUACGAUAAGAUCGCAGACGACCUACCGGGGAAAGCAGGGGAUCUUUUGGCCUGGCGGGACUGUACUAGCCGCUGUCGGAUUUGCUAGUUGGGGGGUUAAAGGCCUAGCAAGGGGACGAGCCGUAGCUGGUGUGAGAGGAUGAUCGGCGCCACGGGAGCGGAGACACGGACCAGACUCCUACGGGAGGCAGCAGUGGGGAAUGUUGGACAAUGGGCGCAAGCCUGAUCCAGCCAUCCCGCGUGGGUGAAGAAGGCCUUCGGGUUGUAAAGACCGUUUGUUGGGAAAGAAAAGCCUUCGCUUAAUACGAAGCGGUUCUGACGGUACCGAAAGAAUAAGCACCGGCUAACUACGUG
This 492-nucleotide ribosomal RNA is filed under the name uncultured bacterium. Its description in RNAcentral is "partial 16S ribosomal RNA". It matches the Rfam family "Bacterial small subunit ribosomal RNA", at positions 29 to 507 of the family's 1533-position model. The record is from RNAcentral.